ACGAGUGGCGGACGGGUGAGUAAUGUCUGGGAAACUGCCUGAUGGAGGGGGAUAACUACUGGAAACGGUAGCUAAUACCGCAUAACGUCGCAAGACCAAAGAGGGGGACCUUCGGGCCUCUUGCCAUCGGAUGUGCCCAGAUGGGAUUAGCUAGUAGGUGGGGUAACGGCUCACCUAGGCGACGAUCCCUAGCUGGUCUGAGAGGAUGACCAGCCACACUGGAACUGAGACACGGUCCAGACUCC
This 245-nucleotide ribosomal RNA is filed under the name uncultured bacterium. RNAcentral's name for it is "partial 16S ribosomal RNA". It matches the Rfam family "Bacterial small subunit ribosomal RNA", at positions 91 to 339 of the family's 1533-position model. The record is from RNAcentral.